UACGAAGGGGGCUAGCGUUGCUCGGAAUGACUGGGCGUAAAGGGCGCGUAGGCGGUUUUGUCAGUUAGGUGUGAAAUUCCUGGGCUUAACCUGGGGACUGCACUUAAUACGGCAGAGCUUGAGUUCGGAAGAGGGUAGUGGAAUUCCCAGUGUAGAGGUGAAAUUCGUAGAUAUUGGGAAGAACACCGGUGGCGAAGGCGGCUACCUGGUCCGAUACUGACGCUGAGGCGCGAAAGCGUGGGGAGCAAACAGG
RNAcentral lists this ribosomal RNA (253 nucleotides) under uncultured bacterium. RNAcentral's name for it is "partial 16S ribosomal RNA". It matches the Rfam family "Bacterial small subunit ribosomal RNA", at positions 524 to 776 of the family's 1533-position model. The record is from RNAcentral.